This 492-nucleotide ribosomal RNA is filed under the name uncultured bacterium. RNAcentral's name for it is "partial 16S ribosomal RNA". It matches the Rfam family "Bacterial small subunit ribosomal RNA", at positions 29 to 507 of the family's 1533-position model. The record is from RNAcentral.
AGUGAACGCUGGCGGUAGGCCUAACACAUGCAAGUCGAACGGCAGCACAGUAAGAGCUUGCUCUUACGGGUGGCGAGUGGCGGACGGGUGAGGAAUACAUCGGAAUCUACUUUUUCGUGGGGGAUAACGUAGGGAAACUUACGCUAAUACCGCAUACGACCUACGGUUGAAAGCAGGGGAUCUUCGGACCUUGCGCGAUUGAAUUAGCCGAUGUCGGAUUAGCUAGUUGGCGGGGUAAAGGCCCACCAAGGCGACGAUCCGUAGCUGGUCUGAGAGGAUGAUCAGCCACACUGGAACUGAGACACGGUCCAGACUCCUACGGGAGGCAGCAGUGGGGAAUAUUAGACAAUGGGCGCAAGCCUGAUCCAGCCAUACCGCGUGGGUGAAGAAGGCCUUCGGGUUGUAAAGCCCUUUUGUUGGGAAAGAAAAGCAGCAGGUUAAUACCCCGCUGUUCUGACGGUACCCAAAGAAUAAGCACCGGCUAACUUCGUG